AAGUGAACCAGGAUAAAAUACCUGUGUGCUAUUUUGUUUAUAUCUUGCACCUAGUUCUUAUCCUUAAGUUUUGUAAAACUUAAAAAGGGAUAUCUUUUGUUAAAAACUCUAUUCAAACCCCCCUUUCUAGUGUUUUUCGCACCUUCACUUGACUAUUUACCCAAAAAUAAAAACAUUAAUAACUCGUUCUUAGCCCAUAAAUC
RNAcentral lists this long non-coding RNA (203 nucleotides) under Lotus japonicus. Its description in RNAcentral is "long non-coding RNA (LJAP_LNC001153)". The record is from RNAcentral. Lineage: Eukaryota; Viridiplantae; Streptophyta; Magnoliopsida; Fabales; Fabaceae.